UUUCCGGUUGAUCCUGCCGGACCCGACUGCUAUCGGGGUGGGACUAAGCCAUGCGAGUCGAACGUCCCCCGGGAAUGUGGGGGGCGUGGCGCACGGCUCAGUAACACGUAGCUAACCUGCCCUAGGGAGGGGGAUAAUCCCGGGAAACUGGGGCUAAUCCCCCAUAGGUCUAGGCUCCUGGAAUGGGCCUAGACCGAAAGGGGCUGGCGCACAUCCCGCGCCAGCACCGCCCUAGGAUGGGGCUGCGGCCCAUCAGGUAGUUGGUGGGGUAAAGGCCCACCAAGCCUAUAACGGGUACGGGCUCUGAGAGGAGGAGCCCGGAGAUGGGCACUGAGACAAGGGCCCAGGCCCUACGGGGCGCAGCAGGCGCGAAACCUCCGCAAUGCGGGAAACCGCGACGGGGUCACCCCGAGUGCCGCCCGCAGAGGGCGGCUUUUCCAGGGCCUAAAAAGCCCUGGGAAUAAGGGGAGGGCAAGCCUGGUGUCAGCCGCCGCGGUAAUACCAGCUCCCCGAGUGGUCGGGACGAUUAUUGGGCCUAAAGCGCCCGUAGCCGGCCCGGUACGUCCCCUGUUAAAUCCACCGGCUCAACCGGUGGGCUGCGGGGGAUACUACCGGGCUAGGAGGCGGGAGAGGCCGGGGGUAUUCCCGGGGUAGGGGUAAAAUCCUCUGAUCCCGGGAGGACCGCCAGUGGCGAAGGCGCCCGGCCAGAACGCGCUCGACGGUGAGGGGCGAAAGCUGGGGGAGCGAACCGGAUUAGAUACCCGGGUAGUCCCAGCUGUAAACGAUGCGGGCUAGGUGCUGGAGGGGCUACGGGCCUCUCCAGUGCCGCAGGGAAGCCGUUAAGCCCGCCGCCUGGGGAGUACGGCCGCAAGGCUGAAACUUAAAGGAAUUGGCGGGGGGGCACACACGGGUGAAGCCUGCGUCAUGAUCACGCCGGGAUUCGUCGACUGCAGCAUGCAGCUUGCACUGACGUCGGUUACACGUCUGACUGGGAAAGCCUGCGUACCUACCU
Molecule: ribosomal RNA, 1012 nt
Filed under: uncultured archaeon
Lineage: Archaea
Description: bacterial SSU rRNA
Rfam family: Archaeal small subunit ribosomal RNA
Source: RNAcentral